RNAcentral lists this ribosomal RNA (403 nucleotides) under uncultured bacterium. RNAcentral describes it as "bacterial SSU rRNA". It matches the Rfam family "Bacterial small subunit ribosomal RNA", at positions 370 to 793 of the family's 1533-position model. The record is from RNAcentral.
AAUGGGCGCAAGCCUGAUGCAGCAACGCCGCGUGAGCGAUGAAGGCCUUCGGGUCGUAAAGCUCUGUCCUCAAGGAAGAAUAAAUGACGGUACUUGAGGAGAAGCCCGCUACUACGUGCCAGCAGCCGCGGUAAUACGUAGGGGGCAAAGCGUUAUCCGGAAUCACUGGGCGUAAAGGGUGCGUAGGCGGUUUUCAAGUCAGAAGUGAAAGGCUAUGGCUCAACCAUAGUAAGCUUUUGAAACUGUUAAACUUGAGUGCAGGAGAGGAAAGUGGAAUUCCUAGUGUAGAGGUGAAAUUCGUAGAUAUUAGGAGGAACACCAGUGGCGAAGGCGACUUUCUGGACUGUAACUGACGCUGAGGCACGAAAGCGUGGGGAGCGAACAGGAUUAGAUACCCUGGUAG